UACGUAGGGUGCAAGCGUUAAUCGGAAUUACUGGGCGUAAAGCGUGCGCAGGCGGUUUUGUAAGUCAGAUGUGAAAUCCCCGGGCUUAACCUGGGAACUGCGUUUGAAACUACAAGGCUAGAGUGUGGUAGAGGGGGGUGGAAUUCCACGUGUAGCAGUGAAAUGCGUAGAGAUGUGGAGGAACACCGAUGGCGAAGGCAGCCCCCUGGGUUAACACUGACGCUCAGGCACGAAAGCUAGGGGAGCAAACAGG
RNAcentral lists this ribosomal RNA (253 nucleotides) under uncultured bacterium. RNAcentral describes it as "partial 16S ribosomal RNA". It matches the Rfam family "Bacterial small subunit ribosomal RNA", at positions 524 to 776 of the family's 1533-position model. The record is from RNAcentral.